RNAcentral lists this ribosomal RNA (498 nucleotides) under uncultured bacterium. Its description in RNAcentral is "partial 16S ribosomal RNA". It matches the Rfam family "Bacterial small subunit ribosomal RNA", at positions 28 to 507 of the family's 1533-position model. The record is from RNAcentral.
GACGAACGCUGGCGGCGUGCCUAAUACAUGCAAGUCGAGCGGACGGAUGGGAGCUUGCUCCCAGACCGUCAGCGGCGGACGGGUGAGUAACACGUGGGCAACCUGCCUGUAAGACUGGGAUAACUCCGGGAAACCGGGGCUAAUACCGGAUAACUCUUUCCCUCACAUGAGGGAAAGCUGAAAGAUGGCAUCUCGCUAUCACUUACAGAUGUGCCCGCGGCGCAUUAGCUAGUUGGUGAGGUAACGGCUCACCAAGGCGACGAUGCGUAGCCGACCUGAGAGGGUGAUCGGCCACACUGGGACUGAGACACGGCCCAGACUCCUACGGGAGGCAGCAGUAGGGAAUCUUCCGCAAUGGACGAAAGUCUGACGGAGCAACGCCGCGUGAGUGAUGAAGGUUUUCGGAUCGUAAAACUCUGUUGUCAGGGAAGAACAAGUACCGGAGUAACUGCCGGUACCUUGACGGUACCUGACCAGAAAGCCACGGCUAACUACGUG